This 468-nucleotide ribosomal RNA is filed under the name uncultured bacterium. RNAcentral's name for it is "partial 16S ribosomal RNA". It matches the Rfam family "Bacterial small subunit ribosomal RNA", at positions 28 to 507 of the family's 1533-position model. The record is from RNAcentral.
GACGAACGCUGGCGGCGUGCUUAACACAUGCAAGUCGAACGGAAAGGCCCUGCUUUUGUGGGGUUCUCGAGUGGCGAACGGGUGAGUAACACGUGAGUAACCUGCCCUUGACUUUGGGAUAACUUCAGGAAACUGGGGCUAAUACCGGAUAUGAUCUCCUGCUGCUUGGUUGGGGUUGGAAAGUUUCGGCGGUUGGGGAUGGUCUCGCGGCUUAUCAGCUUGUUGGUGGGGUAGUUGCUUACCAAGGGUUUGACGGGUAUCCGGCCUGUGAGGGUGACCGGGGAAAAUGGGACGGAGAUAGGGGCCAGAAUGGAACGGGAGGAAGCAGUGGGGAAUAUUGCACAAUGGGAGGAAGGAUGAUGCAGGAAAGCCGCGUGCGGGAUGACGGCCUUCGGGUUGUAAACAGAUUUAGAAUGUGAAGAAGAGUGAGUGACGGUAAUGGGUAAAGAAGCACCGGCUAACUACGUG